RNAcentral lists this ribosomal RNA (440 nucleotides) under uncultured bacterium. RNAcentral describes it as "partial 16S ribosomal RNA". It matches the Rfam family "Bacterial small subunit ribosomal RNA", at positions 338 to 795 of the family's 1533-position model. The record is from RNAcentral.
CCUACGGGAGGCAGCAGUAGGGCAUAUUGCUCAAUGGGGGAAACCCUGAAGCAGCAACGCCGCGUGGAGGAUGAAGGUUUUCGGAUUGUAAACUCCUUUUGUUAGAGAAGAUAAUGACGGUAUCUAACGAAUAAGCACCGGCUAACUCCGUGCCAGCAGCCGCGGUAAUACGGAGGGUGCAAGCGUUACUCGGAAUCGCUGGGCGUAAAGAGCGCGUAGGCGGGAUAGCAAGUCAGAUGUGAAAUCCUAUGGCUUAACCAUAGAACUGCAUUUGAAACGGGUAUUCUAGAGUAUGGGAGAGGUAGGUGGAAUUCUUGGUGUAGGGGUAAAAUGCGUAGAGAUCAAGAGGAAUACUCAUUGCGAAGGCGACCUGCUAGAACAUAACUGACGCUGAUGCGCGAAAGCGUGGGGAGCAAACAGGAUUAGAUACCCGUGUAGUC